Molecule: long non-coding RNA, 4577 nt
Organism: Canis lupus familiaris (dog)
Lineage: Eukaryota; Metazoa; Chordata; Mammalia; Carnivora; Canidae
Exons: 3
Source: RefSeq, a predicted model, not a curated record
CAGCUCAGAUACUCUGUGAUGCCAAUUUGCUAAGCUUUUCCCUCUAAAUGACUUUGCUUCUAGCAGUUUCCGGGGGUGGGGGUGGGGGAGCUUUCCUAAAUAUAUUCCUUGUUUCUCUUUGAAGCACUUUUAAGUGUGUGUGUGUGUGUGUGUGUGCAUACAAUUGCAAGAAAGUCCAUGAGAAGAAAGCAUUGUAAGAACCUUGCCACCAUGGCACGCACCACCUGCAAGCUCCUUAAAGACAGCUGCAAAAUCAGGUUGUUCCUUGAAGUCCGCCCAACAGCACCUGCAAGAGCUUGGCAGGAAAUGGCUACUUAUUGGUUACUGAAUGAACGAAGAGGCAAAAGAACAAACAAACCAGAUAUGCGUCCAAACACACAAAAUCUGCUUGCAAAUGUCCAGCCUGGUGUGCGUUCUCCGUGAUUUAUCCUGAAUGGAUAAAACAUUAAUGAAGAAAAUCAAAACAAAUGCAUCUCCCAGACUCUCCAGCAAGGCUGUUUUACACAGUCUAUCUGAGAAAGAAAACGAGAGGAUGGAGAGGAAAAGCCGUCUCCAUGUGACUCCUUGGCAUUUCAUCAUCAAUCAGCAUGAAGUCAGAAACAUCACUAAGUAUUGAAGUUGAAAUUAACUGCAACCUCUGACGGAAAAGUACUUAUUUAGAAUCUUUCAGUUAGUUUCUGUAAUGAAAUAUGGCAAUGAAUUAGCCACACGAUGGUCUGGAGAAAGGUGCUUAAUAAGAAAAACUGCUCAUGUUGGGAAGCCAAGUUCUUCUCAUGUUUAUUUUAGUGACCUCUCCUCUUCCUUUCUCCCUUCUCCCCACCCCCCCACCAAAGCUGUCCUUUCGUGAAGCCAUCAUGGCUGACAACAGAGGCAAAUUGUUCUGAAGAACUUUAAUUAGACUUAAAAUUUGCAAGGUGUCAGGAGCCCUUGUAAUUGUUAAAAGUCCAGAGGCUCUCAAAGAUCAGUAUUCAAAAGAAAGGCAGAGUGUACAAGGGUUAGAGGUUGGGGUUCUGCAGCCACACUACUUGGAUUGGAAACUGGUCCCCCAACAUUUACUCCUGAGACCUUGAGGAAGUCACUUGAUGUGAGCCUCAGUUUCUUCAUCUGUAAAAUGGGUACAAUAAAAACAAAACUCAUGUCAUGGGUAGGUAUUAUGAUAUCAAAAAAAGCUAGAAUAGAAUAGAAUCUGAUACCUGGAAAUAAUCUUUAAAUGGUUACUGCUUUUGUGUAGGAAAAAUUUAGGAUGUGUUUUUAAAAUGUAGAUCUCUGGAUUCCCACUUUGAGAGAUACCAACUUAUUAAAUGUGAAUCAGAGCCCAGAUAUCUGCAUUUUGAUCAACAUCCCAGGUACUCCUGAACCACACUUCAAGUGGCACAGAUUUGACCAAACCCCUUGUUUGGAAAAUAAGAAAAAUGAGUUCUAGAAGGCAAAAUGCCAGUGUCAAGGUCAUAGAGCUAAACAGUGAUCCACCUGAUAUCUCAAGCCCCUCAUCUUCCAUUCUAACUAAUGUGGUCUCCAUCAUAGCCACCUCCAUUUAUUGAGCCUUUAGUAUGAGGUUCUUAACCAGAAGGGCACAUCAGAAACACCUAAAGAGCCUUUCCAAAUACUCAAGGUCAUUGUCCAGCCCAGAUCUGUGGAAUUUCAUGACAAGUGGCAGAUCUCAUACCUGAACCCAAUGGUCCCUGAUUGUUUCAUGGUACCAGCUGGUAACUUUUCAUUAGCUUCUCAUGCUCAUCUUAGGCUAGAGCUGAGGGCAUAUACUUUAACUCAUAUUUGAGUCAUUUUUCUUUCCUAACCAUACUGCUGGAUUAUGGUACUAUAACAGAUGUAAAUUAUUAACUAAUAAAUAUAUUUUCAGUUUAUUUCUCUUUCCUUCACACUAUGGAAAACUGGCAUUGGCCACUGCCCAGGUAAAGCAUUUAUCUCUCCUCCUCAGUCUCCUAGGGCCUUUAAUAGACAGAUUGAGAUAAUCCAGUGGUUCUCAGCUGGGAUUGGUUUGGCCACCCAGGGAACAUUUGGCAAUGUCCUAAGACAUUUUUGGUUGUCACACCUGGGGGGAAAUGUUACUGGCAUCUAGUAGAUGGAGACCAAGAAUGCUGCUAAAUGUCCUGUAAUACACAGGACAUCUCCUACAACAACAACAAAAAUUUAUGGACCCAAAUGUCAUUGGUUACAUUAGCUAAUCAGGGGGAUGAAGGACUCAGAAAAAGAAUUUAUUUCAGAAAGCCUUAAGAGCCACUUCUAGAGUUCUAGAGGGGGAAAAACUCAUGUGGCAAAGGAAAGAGCAAGAAGAGAAGAGUGGGGCCUACCAUUUGGGAACAUCGAAGAGAGUCUGAAGAGAAUAUGGAGCAGCAGGGAAAGAAUGUGGGCAACUUCAAGGUAUGAGAGAGUUAGCAACUGAGAGGACAUGGUACUUUGGCUUAGGAAUCGAAUCUUUUCCAAUGUCCCUCAAGAGAUGCAAGUUCAGAUUAGAAUGCCUUACACAUUAAAUUUGAUGCUACUCCAAGCCUGGGCCCAUGGAUCACUGCCUUAUAUUAUGAUGAUAGAACAUCUUUAGAAUUAGAACCUCUUCCUAAAGGUGGUAAAGCCAAUAUUAAAGUGUCAAAAUAAUUUGCUUUUUCCUAAUUGAAAAAUAGGAUGUAUUUGGAUGACGUUAGGUCAACAUCCUACACAUAUACCAUAUACAGCCCAAAUGCUUUUCAGGAGGCGAAAGAGUGGGAAGGUGACAGAAGUCAAUCCAAAGACCGUGAAAACUCUAGUACAAAAUUUAUGCUUUGGCUUUGCCCCUUGUUUGGUCAUUAACUAACCACAUUGACUAAAGGCCAUUAAAUAUCCUGUUGAUUCCAAAAAGCCAAAUACGGUAAAACCCUUAGGCUGAUGGGGACAGAACUUUCUGGAAAUAGGGCCUGUGUGAAGGAAUACCCCCUGUCAUAGAUUGAUACAAUAAUGGCCCCUAUGCAUGCAUCUCUGCAAUAGGAUAUUGCAUUCCUUCCUACCACCCCACAAUCUGUGCUAGUCUGGUGACGUCUUUUGACCAAUCAAAAGUGGUGGAAGUGAUGUAUGAGCUCUGAGCCCUGGCCAUAGGAGACCGUGGCUUCAGUUCCCACUGUCUUAGAAUCCUGAGACCUCCAUGCUGUGGAGAAGCCCCAUCUAGCCUGUUGGAGCAUGGGCUGGCGGGUGGUGCAUGUAAUGGAGAGCUGAGACACGCUGCCCAUUAACAGCUGGCACCAACCGCCCACCAUUUAAAUGAAGUUCUCUGGAACUUUCAGCCCCAAUCUGUCACAUAACUGCAGCUACAUGAGCAACCUCAGGCAAGACCAGCAAAAGAACCACAUUGGCUGCCACCCCCCCACACACACAUUGGGAGAAAUAAAUCAUUGCUGUUUGAGGAUGACUUGUUUCUCAGAAAUAAGUACCUGAAAAAUUUCCCCAAAGGCCCCAGGAUCAAAAUGUUUUCGGCAAGGAUGGUUUGCACCAGAAACUAUGGUAGCUGUAUCCACCACUUACCCCCCAUGUGUUUCUGCUUCUCCCAGGCCCACAACAGCUCAACGUGGAUCCCAGGUUCACCCUAAGCAGAAUGAUGAAGUCAAUAAAGUGUUUGUGGACUUUCUUGUUAUGUAUUCUUUCCUCUUGUAGGAGCUUCUGUCCUCCCACAGACACCUCUAGGAUGCCAGGGCCCCCAACAGGGGCAACUUAUCACCACCAGCCUUCUACCAGGUGGGGCUCCUCCUUUAUCUUGCCCACGAAAACUUUUCUUCCCUCAAUACCCUGCUCCCACCUUCCUGUCACAGGGAAAAUGGUCGAGCUCUAUCAAGUUACUAAGGUGUAAAUGACCGAUGGAAUGUUCUCACAAUCUUUAUCAAUAAUAUUAGAAUGCUAUAUACCUCAGACGUAUAUGCGACCUCUAACUUCACACUGACCAGAUAAGAGGGAUGCAUGAAGAAAAAGAAGGACUCUUCCAAGGUUGUGGAGCUAAUAAAGACAGAGCUUAACCUUUCAGAUUCUAAAGAAGGCACUUUCUAGUAUUUAACAUUGCUGGAUGUAUAGCUGUGACCUUGGAUACUUAAUUUCAGAAACUCCAUCUGGUAAGGGGGUGGAGGGGAUAGUUUGGAAAAUGCUGAGCCAUUCACUAGGUGUCCCAUGGAGGCUCAUUGUCCCUAAAGCACCGUCCAAGCCAUUGUGAGAGCUACAUAUAAGAACCACCGAAGAUUUAUGAGCAAGGGGGUGCACGAUACUUGUUUCUCCCUGAAAGGUCGCUUUCCCAGUAGCCUUGGAGAAUAAAUUAGGAAAUAGAGUGAGCAGCUAGGAGCCUACUUCAGUGCACCAGGUAAGAAUGGGCAGACCUGAACUAAGGCAGAUUAGAAAGUCUAGAAGUUGCAUGGAGGUAAAAUUCACAGAAUUGUCGUGACAUUUUGAGGCCUGGGUUUUAAAAUCUCCUCUGUCUGGUGACAUAUAAUAAUAAGUCUCUGCUAAGGAUUAGCAAAGUGGGGCCAGGCUCUGGAAUCAGAUACAAGUGGAUUUGGAUCCUAAGCCUAUCCUUUUCAAUAGCUGGAUACCUUUGGGCAGAAGAGUUGACC